CUAGUUCGAACGUAAUAGAAGGUAUAUUUUCUUAACUAAAGUGAUAAACAAUGUCUAUCUCACCAUUCCUGCGGGCCCCGUUUACUGAUAUCACUGGUGGAAUGAUAUCCCACCAGAUGUUAGGCAAGUGCCAGAAAGAAGAAAUACGUUACAUGGAUUGCUUAGAGGCCUAUGGAUUGGACAGAGGCCGAGUCAAAUGUGCACAAAUAUUUGAAGAUUUCCAUGAAUGUCAGACCCAUACUAAACAAUUUAAAAGAUUUAUGGCCAUGAGGAGGGAAAGAGAUAGACAAAUAGCAGAUGGAACAUUGAAAGGUGAUAACAAAUAUGUCAGCCCAAGAGUGGACAGUUAUUAAUCAUUUGUAGAGCAAUUGUCUUAUUAUAAAUAUUGCAAAAUAGAUCAUUUUAAGUGCUAUAAUAUUGUUUUCUUGGAAUAAAAAAAUUUAAACU
Long non-coding RNA from Papilio polytes (common Mormon), 447 nucleotides. RefSeq lists it as uncharacterized. The transcript has 3 exons. NCBI's taxonomy places the organism in Eukaryota, Metazoa, Arthropoda, Insecta, Lepidoptera, Papilionidae. The record is from RefSeq and is a predicted model, not a curated record.